AUGAUGGAGAGUUUGAUCCUGGCUCAGGACGAACGCUGGCGGCGUGCCUAAUACAUGCAAGUCGAGCGAACCCGGGGUGCUUGCACCCUGAGGG
RNAcentral lists this ribosomal RNA (94 nucleotides) under Geomicrobium halophilum. Its description in RNAcentral is "Bacterial small subunit ribosomal RNA". It matches the Rfam family "Bacterial small subunit ribosomal RNA", at positions 1 to 93 of the family's 1533-position model. The record is from Rfam by way of RNAcentral. Lineage: Bacteria; Bacillati; Bacillota; Bacilli; Caryophanales.